This 3396-nucleotide ribosomal RNA is filed under the name Triticum aestivum (bread wheat). RNAcentral's name for it is "partial small subunit ribosomal RNA". Lineage: Eukaryota; Viridiplantae; Streptophyta; Magnoliopsida; Poales; Poaceae. The record is from RNAcentral.
AUGCAAACACUACACAGCAAAAUGCCAUCUUGCUCAACACCAUUGUUGUACCUCUGCCUACUGCUGGUGCCGUGCCUUCUUCUCUUGGAAGAAGCACAUGGGACACGUCAUGGAGGGAUCUCACCGAGGUCUCAACACAUGGCCCUCCUCCACUGGAAGGCUACACUUACAAGUCCACUGAUGCAGAUGAUCUCUUGGCAUAAAAACACUAGCCCCUGCAACUGGACGGGCAUCAUGUGCACGGCUGUUCGCCAUGGCCGCCGCAUGCCCUGGGUGGUGACCAACAUCUCCCUGCCGGAUGCAGGCAUCCGUGGCCAGCUCGGUGAGCUCAACUUCUCAGCUCUUCCAUUCCUCACAUCUAUUGAUCUUCAUAACAACAGUCUCCAUGGUGCACUGCCCGCUAGUAUCUGCUCCCUGUCAGCACUUUCGAUACUUGACCUUACCUACAACCAGCUCACAGGAAAAAUUCCCUAUGAGAUUGGUAACCUGCAAAGUCUCGGCUAUCUUGGUCUCUCAUUUAAUAGACUCACAGGACAUAUCCCUGUGUCUCUGGGCAACCUAACAAUGUUAAAUGUACUUGUCAUUCACCAAACCAUGGUAUCAGGUAGCAUUCCUGAGGAGAUUGGAAGGCUUGUCAACCUACAAAUUCUACAGCUAAGCAACAACACCUUAAGCGGUUUUAUACCAAAAACCUUUGGAAAUCUGACCCAACUAAAUGUUUUGCUCCUGUUUGGUAAUCAAUUUUCAGGGCCUAUACCCCAAGAACUAGGCAAGCUAGUACAUUUGCAAGGUCUUUAUCUUAAUGCAAAUGGUUUUUCAGGUCCAAUUCCAAUCUCCAUAACCAAUCUCACUAAGAUGAACACACUUUUUCUCUUUGAAAAUCAAAUCACAGGUUCAAUACCCCCAGAACUAGGCGACCUCAACAUGCUAAACAAACUUCAUCUCGAUAGAAAUCAAAUAACAGGUUCAAUACCACCAGAACUAGGGAACCUCACUAUGCUCGAUGAACUUUUUCUCCAUACAAAUCAAAUCACAGGCCCAAUACCUUCAGAAUUGGGCAUCUUGCUGAAUCUCCAGAGUUUAGACUUGUCCAGCAAUCAAAUUUAUGGCUCUAUUCCUGGCGGCUUAGGAAAUAUAAUCAAGCUAGUAUUCCUCUCCCUCUCUGAAAAUCGGAUAACUGGUUCUAUCCCCCAGGAAAUUGGAAAUCUGAUAAACCUCCAGCAUUUAAUCUUGUAUCAAAAUAAAAUUUCGGGGUCAAUACCAAAAACUUUUGGGAAGCUACAAAGCAUCCAAGGCAUGCUAAUCUUUGAUAACAAAUUAUCAGGUUCUCUUCCUCAAGAAUUUGGAGAUCUCAUUAGCCUUGUUGAACUUGGGUUAUCCAACAACUUACUUUCAGGACAUUUACCCACAAAUAUAUGUUCGGGUGGCAGACUUCGGUAUCUUUAUGUCUCUUCUAAUGAAUUCAGUGGCCCCAUUCCAAGGAGUUUAAAGACAUGUACGAGUUUGGUUCGAAUAUACCUUGGCAGGAACCAACUCACAGGAGAUAUAUCUCAGGAUUUUGGUGUGUAUCCACAACUAACAGAGAUGAUCUUGUCAUCGAAUAGACUCUCGGGGCAGAUCUCACAAAAUUUAGGUGCAUGUAACCAGCUAAUGGUACUGCGUCUCCAACAAAAUUUGAUCACAGGUUCCAUACCUCCUAUCAUUUCUAAAUUGUCCAACCUAGUAGAACUAUCACUAGAUUCUAAUCAUCUCAGCGGUGAGAUUCCACAAGAAAUCUGCACUUCAGCAAACAUAUAUAGACUGAACUUAUCAUCGAACCAGUUAUCUGGAUCCAUACCCACACAGAUAGAAAAGCUAAGCAAUCUUGGAUACCUUGAUAUAUCUGGGAACAGACUGAGUGGGUUAAUACCUGAGGAACUAGGGGCUUGCAUGAAACUACAGUCCUUGAAGAUCAAUAACAACAACUUCAGUGGGAGCUUGCCUGGCGCAAUUGGAAAUUUAGCAGGCCUGCAGAUCAUCUUAGAUGUGAGCAACAAUAACCUCAGUGGUGUAUUACCGCAGCAAUUGGGGAAGUUGCAGAUGCUAGAAUUUCUGAAUUUAUCACAUAAUCAGUUCAGUGGUAGCAUUCCAUCCUCCUUUACAAGCAUGGUGAGCCUUUCAACACUCGAUGUGUCCUACAACGACUUGGAAGGACUGGUCCCAACAGCACGGCUACUCCAAAAUGCUUCAUCAAGUUGGUUUCUUCCUAAUAAAGGUCUGUGUGGUAACCUCUCUGGCCUGCCGCCUUGUUAUUCAACCCCAAUAGCUGCUCAAAAAAAGGGGAAGAUGCUCGGUUUGCUUUUGCCAAUUGUUCUUGUGAUGGGUUUCAUCAUUUUUGCUGCAAUUGUUGUCAUAAUAAUACUUACUCGUAAGAAGAGAAAACCACAAGAAAGUGUUACCGCUGAAGCAAGGGACCUAUUCUCUGUUUGGAAUUUCGAUGGAAGAUUAGCAUUUGACGAUAUUGUAAGGGCAACAGAAGACUUUGAUGAUAAGUACAUCAUUGGAACAGGAGGAUACGGCAAAGUCUACAAAGCACAACUCCAAGACGGGCAGAUGGUUGCUGUGAAGAAGCUUCAUCAGACAGAAGAAGAGUUGGAUGAUGGAAGAAGAUUCUGUAGUGAAAUGGAAAUCUUAACACAGAUCCGACAACGAAGCAUUGUCAAAAUGUAUGGAUUCUUCUCCCAUCCAGCAUAUAAAUUUCUCAUCUACGAUUACAUUCAGCAAGGAAGCCUCCAUGGGACAUUGGAAAAUGAGGAGCUAGCAAAGGAAUUAGAUUGGCAGAAGAGAAUUGUUAUUGCAAGUGAUGUGGCACAAGCAAUAUCUUAUUUGCACCAUGAAUGUAGUCCACCUAUAAUCCAUCGAGAUAUCACGAGCAACAACAUCUUACUUGAUACAACCUUCAAGGCUUUUGUCUCGGAUUUCGGCACAGCAAGGAUUCUUAAGCCCGAUUCAUCAAACUGGAGUGCACUUGCUGGAACAUAUGGCUACAUAGCUCCUGAACUCUCGUACACAUCUAUUGUGACAGAGAAAUGUGAUGUCUAUAGCUUUGGUGUGGUUUUAUUAGAGCUAGUGAUGGGGAAGCAUCCAAGGGAUCUAUUAGACGGUAGUUUGUCAAGCGGGGAACAAGCUAUGCUGGUGAAAGAUAUUCUAGACCAACGACCGAGAACACCACCAACAACAGAAGAGAAUCACUUAGCCCUGCUCAUUAAGCUGGCGUUUUCUUGCUUGGAAUCUUCUCCACAAGCAAGGCCAACGAUGCAGGAGGCAUACCAAACACUCAUCCAACAACCUUCUCCUAGUUCAUGCCCCGUGCCUUUUAGCGCACUUACAUUACAGCAAGCAAGGGACGGAUGUUGA